CAUAAAUAUAACUUGUUUUUUACUCAUAUUUCACUUAUUAUUAUACAGCAAAUUCCUGCUGGAUUACACAAUAUAGUAAAUAUAAUAAUAUUUUUGUUUCCACACAAAAAGUGUUUUUCCAGAUAAUUAUAUUCUGCAUUUAUGUAUAUAUCUAUAUACAAUAGAUAGUUUUUUUUUUUCUGCUCUGCAAACUCUCUUCAGUAUUACUAGAAGCAAACUCUUUUUUUCUAAUCAACUUUUUUUUUCUUCCUUUAUAAUGGUAUAUUGUCCAUUCUCUGCUUGUAAUACAAGAACAUUCAUUUAGUUCUUGUUCUCUUCAAAAAUGUCUAGAAGAGAAAUAGCCUCUGGAACAUUUAGCUCAAGGCGGAAUUUAGGGCCAUCGUAAUGGUGAAGGACUGGCCUGAAUGAAUCCUCUUCAAGUGGUUCACAGACUUUCCUUGUCACGACACGAACCUGAGCAGGAAAGCGAGAUUCACCAGGGUUCUUCUUGUCCUCCCAGGCCGAUGGAUCAAUAUUUGACCCACCAAAGCUUGCAGCCUCAAAAACUCCGUGAAGCUGAUGGGUUGAGUAGUUGUACAGAAAGAGAGGCAAUCCAGGUGUUAUUUGCCUAACCGAGUCCCUGUAACGUGGUGGCAAGCCAAAGAGCUCCCUUUUGAGAUUCUCAGCCAUGGUAUCAUUGUUGCAAACAAAAAUAUAUCCACCAACAGUUUCAUUUUUUGGUAAAGAUUCUGAUGCUGGCAAAGUCUUGAACUUUUUAUUCUCACUACUGCUAUUAUUAGCACCCAAAUCCUUAUUACUCUCUCUAUUAAUCUUGUUAUUUUUCUUUCCAAAUUUAUUCACAAAUCCGUAAUCAUCCUCAAAAACACCAUUUUUCCCAUUUCUCUUGUUGUUAUUAACCCCUUUUGAGUUCACCAUAAUAUUGCUAAAAUUCAUAGGGUUUGUGUAAACCCCUUUAUUAAAUCCACCAUUUAAACCAACCCCACCACCACCUUUCACGGCUGAGCCACCACCAGCUGCCGCUGCCGCCGCCGUCAUGUCAGCAAUCUUCCAACCAUCAUUACUAAAAAGAUUGUAAUCUGAAUUCAAAUUUUUUGAUGGAUUUAAAGAAGUAACAGAGUUAAUCAUACCACCUACUCUGAUAUCAAAGUUUCUCCUUUCUUCAGGCCUUUUAGAUACAUAAUUGUUACUCCAAAUUGAAUCAUUUGAAGACAAAUUUACUAAGUUGUUUGUCUGUAAACGAAGAUUAUCACUGAAUUGGUAGAAAGAUGACUGAUUGUUCUCCAUUUUUUCCUCUUUUGCUAAACCCUAGAUGAUUUUUUUUUCUACAAAGAUUGAAUCUUGGCCUAAAACAACAACAGAAAAGGCUAUUUCAGUAUACCCCAGACGAUAAUUUCUCUGUAAAGAUUCAAUUUUGGACUCAAACAACAAUGGAAAAGGCUAUUUUACUUAACCCCAGAUGAUAAUUUCUCUGUAAAGAUUCAAUUUUGGACUCAAACAACAAUGGAAAAGGCUAUUUUACUUAACCCCAGAUGAUAAUUUCUCUGUAAAGAUUCAAUUUUGGACUCAAACAACAAUGGAUAAGGCUAUUUUACUAAACCCCAGAUGAUAAUUUGUCUCAAAGGAUUCAAUUUUGGACUAAAAGAGUGAAAUUUACAGAUGAACAAGGCUCAAAG
RNAcentral lists this unclassified non-coding RNA (1673 nucleotides) under Hevea brasiliensis (rubber tree). The record is from RNAcentral. Lineage: Eukaryota; Viridiplantae; Streptophyta; Magnoliopsida; Malpighiales; Euphorbiaceae.